Long non-coding RNA from Fukomys damarensis (Damara mole-rat), 644 nucleotides. RefSeq lists it as uncharacterized. Lineage: Eukaryota; Metazoa; Chordata; Mammalia; Rodentia; Bathyergidae. The transcript has 4 exons. The record is from RefSeq and is a predicted model, not a curated record.
ACCACAACACCAAAUGGAGCAUUGAACAGAAAAGUAGCAUUCUCCAGGGCCGACUAUUUGAAAUAACAGGUUACAAGUCUCUAUCAUGCCAUCAGCCUUCAAAUUGAAGAUCACCUUUUGGAAGAGACUAUGGAUUAAAAGUUUCACUGUGUUGCCCAGGCUGGCCUUGAAUUCCUGGAUUCAAGUGACCCUAUCACUUCAGUCCCAAGUAGCGAGGACUACAGGCAUCCACCACUGUGCCCAGCUAACUUCACUUAUUUCAGACUUUUAUUUUUUAAUGAAAUACUAAAAAUACCACAGAAACCCCCCAAAUCUGUUCCCCUCCUUCUCUCAGAGAUAACCACUGGCUUGGAUUUAGUGCUACAUCAUCCCUAUGUUUGUCUUUACAGUCCCAGCACCUAACAGAGGAGUACCUGCAAGAACUUAUGUUUUUAAACCUAGGAAGAAAGGGAAGACAGGAGACAGCAAUUCCACACAUCAUUCUGCCAAGGGCUAGGGAUUGAAGCCAGGGCUCUACACCAAGCUACACCCCCAGGCCUUUGUUACGAACGCCAUUGGCUCCACAAUCAUCUUCAUUAGUCAACGGGAAGUGAUUUUUUUAUUUUGGGGGUUGGAGGUGCUGAGAGUGAAACUCAAGGCCUCAU